GACGCCAUGAUGAACACACAACAUUAUCUAUGUUUCUCUGCCUUUGUAUAAAUUGUGUCAUUUACUUCAAUGCUGUUUAUGUCCUUAUUUGCCCAAUAAAUACUCACUGAAAUCAUCCCUGGUAUGUGAAGGAAAAAUUAGUCAAUGUUUUUAUAUCUAUUUUGGUUUAGAAUAACAGACUCUUAAAGAAUUGCUAGCUCUGGGCAGCGACAUCUAUUAAAGUAAGGCAGGAGAAUCUUACUCAUGGCACAGUUGCAAAUAGGUCUAAUCUUAUCUGACCAGUUCUGAAGCUGGGAUGUCCUUCAAACUUGUCCCAAAUUAAGGAAAGGGGAUGAACUGUUUGUAUCCUAGCAUCAUGCAGUCAUUGGACUUAGGGCACAACUCUAAAGGAUAUACAAUCUCGGGCAAUACAGUUACUGGAGCUGAAGGCAUUAUCCAGUGGCGGACAUGACUCUAAGCAGCUAUCAACGGCCAGUAGCUCCAGAAGUAUGGGUGCAUUGCCUGGGAAGAAAAGCUCUUGAUGAUGCACCACAGCAUAUAUUCUAGACCUUACAGAAAACCACACAGUGAAGAAAGCUUUCCCUUUUUUGCUGUGGAAUGAUUUGACUUCUCACACUUCUGUUGGAAUGAAAAUUAGAUUCAAGGACAGCUCUGUACCCGAUAACUCUGACAAGGUGUGAAAUGCUAAGGUUUUGUCCUAGCUUCAUUGGAAGUUUCAAAAGGAACAAAGAGAGAAAAUAUAAACAAAAACGAACUCCGACUUGUGGCACCUCAGUUGGGGAGAACUUUGGAGGCAAAAGAUCUUCUCUCAACUUCCUACCUCAGGAACCAUGAGGACUUCUCUAUGUAUGAGAUCAGCUGUGAUUUCCCUCAUGGGUUGUCUGUGGUGUUUUAUUCUAAAAGGUAAUUCAAGAUUUGGGAGGCCACACAUGUAAUGAAGAGAAAAGUGAAGAAAUGAAGACAGUUUUCUCUGCCAUCGGUCCACAGUGUCUGAAUACACUGCGAAUCCUUUUAAAACUUCCUUGCAAAUAAUAAUACCAGACUAAUAGUGUUUUAAGCAAAUAGUGGUUUGUUUCUCUCACAUAACAAGGAGUCCAGAAGCAGUCACUGACAUUAAGCAUCACGGAUCGACACAUAGACCUUUCCUUGUCAUAUUUCUUUUUCUAACUUCACCAUUUUUGUCACAGACCAAUCCCUGAAGCUCAUAAAUUAGCCCUAACCGUUUCCCACGUUUUUAUAUUUGUCUUUCUCUCCUGUAUCAGAAAACAACAACAAUAACAACAAAAACCAUCAACUGUUCAGGAAAUGUAUCUAGACUGACUUAGGAAGGUACCUCUUUAUCUGGGCGAUUCCUCCCAUUGGCUAUCCCUAUUUCUGUGUUUAUCAAGCUUGUCCCACUUGGAAUUUGUUUUGUUUUUGAUCCCAGUACCAGGCAUUCUUCCUUACACACUGCUUUCCACUCCUCCCCCAAACAAGUUUUCAUAGAUUUUGAAGCUUCAGGGUUUUGAAUUUUUAAAAAACAUUACCAUUUUAGUGUUCCAUGACAGCACACCCCAGUUCUACUACAGUUCUUGAUGUUUUAUGAGUGUCCAUUGCCUUAACUGCUGAUAUUAUCAAAUGUCUCUCUUUUCUCCUUAUCCAGCUCUAUGCUACAUUUACUUUCUCUUUUAAUUACCUUCUCUCAUCCAAACACAAACUCUUUGUUGGUCUGCUGCAUCCAACUUUGCAUCUAUAGCCAACUCUAUUCUCCUGACAUUGGGAAUGCUAUUUAUAAUUGCUUUCUCUACGUCUCAACCUAAAAGGUUCAUUAGAACCUUGUUUUCAAAUUUUCAAAAUGUAAUUGAUGGCAAACAAUCUACAUUAAAAGUAUGUUCAAAAUCAUUAACCAUUAGGUAAAUGCAAGUUAAAACCACAAUGAGUUAUCCACCUGCCAGAAUGACUAAAGUAAAAUAUAAAUGCUGGCAAAGGUGUGGAGACACUGGAUCACUCACACAUUGCUGGUAAGAAUGUAAAAUAGCAUAGCUUUUCUGGAAAAUGGUUUGAUGCCUUUUUGCAACUAUCAUGUGACCCAGAUAUCACUCUUGGGCAUUUAUCCCAGAGAAAUGAAGAAUUAUGUUCACCACUAAAACCUAUACAUGGAUGUUCAUAGCAGCUUUACUCAUAAUAGUCAAAAACUGAAAACAACCCAGAUAACUUUUAACAAGUGAUUUGUUAAAGGAUACCAUGGAAUAAUAUUUAACAAUAAAAAAUAAUGAACUAUUGACAUAUGACAAAUUUCUAGGAAAUUGAUUACACUUAGUGAAAUAUGGCAAUCCCAAAAGAUUACAUACUGUAUGACUCCAAUUAUAUAACAUUUUUGAAUUGACAAUAUUUUAGAAAUGAAGAACAUAUGGUUGUGGUUCCCAGGGGUUGGCAUCUGGGUGAAGUGGGGACAGGGAAGAAGAUAUGAUUUAAUAAAAUGUCCAUAUGAAGGAUCAUUGUGCUGAUGGAAAUGCUGUGUAUGUUAGCUGUAUGAAUGUAAAUAUACUAGUUGUGUUCCUACUAUACUUCUGUGAGAUAUAACUGUUAGAUGGGGAAAUGGUAGAUGGGAUUUCUCUGAGUUAUUUCUUACAACUUCAUGUGAAUCUACAAUCACCUUAAAAUAAAUUAUUUAAUUAAAAUUUUAAUCACAUUUGUUUAGGAUAGUGUACAUAAAUAACCUGUAAAAGUUGAGACAGCAAAUAGAAACUACUUUAUUUCUUAGAAUGAGAAAA
Long non-coding RNA from Acinonyx jubatus (cheetah), 2753 nucleotides. RefSeq lists it as uncharacterized. The transcript is spliced from 3 exons. Lineage: Eukaryota; Metazoa; Chordata; Mammalia; Carnivora; Felidae. The record is from RefSeq and is a predicted model, not a curated record.